AGUGAACGCUGGCGGUAGGCCUAACACAUGCAAGUCGAACGGCAGCACAGUAAGAGCUUGCUCUUACGGGUGGCGAGUGACGGACGGGUGAGGAAUACAUCGGAAUCUACUUUUUCGUGGGGGAUAACGUAGGGAAACUUACGCUAAUACCGCAUACGACCUACGGGUGAAAGCAGGGGAUCUUCGGACCUUGCGCGAUUGAAUGAGCCGAUGUCGGAUUAGCUAGUUGGCGAGGUAAAGGCCCACCAAGGCAACGAUCCGUAGCUGGUCUGAGAGGAUGAUCAGCCACACUGGAACUGAGACACGGUCCAGACUCCUACGGGAGGCAGCAGUGGGGAAUCUUGGACAAUGGGCGCAAGCCUGAUCCAGCCAUACCGCGUGGGUGAAGAAGGCCUUCGGGUUGUAAAGCCCUUUUGUUGGGAAAGAAAAGCAGCAGGUUAAUACCCCGCUGUUCUGACGGUACCCAAAGAAUAAGCACCGGCUAACUUCGUG
Molecule: ribosomal RNA, 492 nt
Filed under: uncultured bacterium
Lineage: Bacteria
Description: partial 16S ribosomal RNA
Rfam family: Bacterial small subunit ribosomal RNA
Source: RNAcentral